Long non-coding RNA from Heterocephalus glaber (naked mole-rat), 272 nucleotides. The record is from Ensembl. Lineage: Eukaryota; Metazoa; Chordata; Mammalia; Rodentia; Bathyergidae.
GUGCAGUUCUGAGCUGGCUGCUGUGCUGCCUCCUGGCGUCAUGGAACAGAGGGGCUGGGAGAGCUGGAAGGGGACCAUGUUUCCUCCCAAGCUUUGGCAAUACCGCACCCUAAUACUGAAGGUAUGCCAUGCCGCCCUCCAGGGAUCUUGUGGCUGGCCUCACCUCAGCCUAUGCCUAGGAUGUUCACUGGAGCCUCACUCUGUACAGCCAGCCCUCUGCCCUGGUGCCAGCACCCACACUGGGCUCCUUGGCCUCUUCUGCAUCUCCCAAG